This is a long non-coding RNA of Perca fluviatilis (European perch), 977 nucleotides long. RefSeq lists it as uncharacterized. Lineage: Eukaryota; Metazoa; Chordata; Actinopteri; Perciformes; Percidae. The transcript has 5 exons. The record is from RefSeq and is a predicted model, not a curated record.
GUUGUGACAAACAUGAUAGCUAGUUCAGGUAUCAGCUCUGACCUCAGCUCAGUUUUUGUGCAUAAAGUAGCUAGGACAGUUUGACCCCUCCUGCAGGCCUGCUGUUUGGGGAACAGGUCCAAUUCGUAGGACCACAGUGUUUCCUCAGCGAGCUGCACAGGAGAGCUCUGCAGGAAUGCUGCUAAGCUGCAGAUGUACCAGCCAAAUUACUCCAGAGGGGAAUUACCAGGCCAUAAAUCCAGACGUCAGGAGAAUGGCUGUAGCCUAUUUCACGGCUUCCCAAAAGGAGCAGUGGGCCGAGUUCAGGCAGAUGCUGGAGGUGUCUGCGGACUGCGCAGGGCAUUAUGGGACAGGCAGCCGAGAGCCAACAGAAGGAGAAAGAGGCGUCUGUGCAGGUCUGCGACAUCUCUUGGUCAUAUGUUGUCUGUGUGCUGACCCCGGUGAACAUGGAGCACCACGGCCUGCUGAGUGAAACUGCAUGUGUCUGUCAGAGAAGCUUGUAAUGUGGCUCUUGGCUUCGUUCAUCUAUUAACAAUCACAUUUUGGUGCCAGCCUCUUAGUGUGUGUGUCUACAAGCUGUAACCCUGCUCUGAAUUCAUUAAUUGCGAUGGAGGAUAAAAAAAAAAAGAAGAAAAAAAGGGACACUUAGCAGGCUCAUUAGGGCAGGGACAUCAACACAGGCUAAAUACUAUAUUCAAAUGUAGCUUUACAUAUAUUAUUGACAUAUUACUGCCAUCAUUUGAUUUCUUUUAAACAAAAUAUUUACUUAUCUAUUGUCUUACCCCAUUAAGUCAAGAGUUUAGGCUUUAACGCGAACGAUUUAUGUCAUUGAACGCAGCAGGCCGAUAUAUGAUGCGUUUAAGAUCACUGUGUGAGCGCCUGUGUGUGUAAUCGUACAUUUGAACGCCCCAUCUCCUUCAAAAACUAAAUUAGAAAUAAAUCCAAAUCCAUCAUAGUAAAAAAAAGAACAUGUAACU